CAGAUGCUGGCACUAGCAUGUGGAGGUUGGGCUAAAUGCUUUAGGGCUAAAUGUGAUUCGGUCGGCUUGGGACUUCUGUUUUCCAGCUGGGUAUUUUUAAAGCUUCUGUCACAGCCUUGCUAGCUAAAGCAUGAGUGAUCCCAUGUACUUCUUCUGCAUAAAGUGAACCACUUCACUGCAGAGCAAAGAGGACAACAAAAUGAAACAAUGCUGAACUCUUCAUUUGGCAUGUAGGCAAAAAUCCUGGCGGGGCCAAAGUACAAGUUCCUACCCUUUCAUUAUUGCCUUUGGUUUGGUGUCUAUCUAUCUCCACUGUUACAUCCUCAGGACCCACAAAAAAAAAAAUCAAAUCGAGUGUCUGUAUGUCAGAAUUGGCAGAUUCUCUGCUAACAGCUGCACAGUGCAUCAGCAGAGCAGUGGCGGUGGGAAAAAAUCUCAGGAAUGUGCUUAAGACUAUUUUUCAUUGCUUCUUUCAGUGCCCGGAGAUCAAACAUACUCAGAGUAGCAGAAUGGAGCAGAGCCCAGAGCUGUGAGAAUGCGCAUUCACUGGAUUGUUGAGUGGACAAAAAAAAAUCAGUGUUCCUGAAAGACUGAGAUCAUCCCCUCUCCAUGUUUUUCUUGUGCAUCACUGAGUAUCUCUUUGGUUUUCUAUUUCGAUCCUUUCAACCUUAACAGGACAAGAGAAUGAAAUAUGCACAUAUGUAUGGAUUUCCUACUUUUUUUUUUUAAACUAUAUUUUAAGUUUUGGACCACUUUUCUUCCAACUGUUCAUUUGCACUACCUGACAGUAAACCUUCAGUGAGAGAGACUUCUUCUAGAUCAGGGAACUAACACAUGGUGAAAAGGAGGAAGGAAAUCCCUUUCUCACAGCCCAAAGACUGACUGCCAGCAAAUUACCAGAAAAGCAACUCUGGCAACAUUCUCCUGGCUACUUGAUACAGGAACAUCUCAUCUGCUUGUAAGGGUUCAUCUGUCCAGAUUGAGAUCUCCAGUACCAUGCUAUUUCUGUGCUGGCAGGAGCUGAGAGCACAUAAUAGUGCAGACCAGUGGUGUGACGUGUUUUCAGCACUUGCAUUAUCAUGCAGCAUCUUCUUGUCUGAGGAGAACAGAUGGAAUAGCCCUUGGAGCGCAUGGCACAUACCCACCUCUCUAAGAGCUCUUUGUGCUUAUCAGGAACUCUCUUUCCACUUGAGAUCCCCACACAGCUGUUACACUGCUGUCUUCUGGUGUGAAAAGAGAAAUCCUCCAGCUGGAGAAGCAAAUCACCUGCUCACUUGCUUCUUUUCUGUAUCAUCUUCUGGAGGCCGAAGGCAUAGCAGGGAGGAGGACAACUAGCUCUGCAGGCUGCUUAUGAGUGCUGCCUGUUUUUGUGGCAUGAGGCCAGCUGGGUUGCCCUUUGGUGGUGUGGGACUGUAAAAUGGAUCGGAUGGCGUGUGGUCUCCGUGCUCGAGUGCUCAGGGUGCUGGCUCAGAGGAGUAAUGGAGCGCUCUCUGAGACGCGCGCUCUCCUCCCAUUGAUUCAGCAGGCUGUUCUCUUCUGUCUGUCUGAGCUUGCGGGCUUUUUGAGGCCAAGGCAGGAUGAAUGAAACUCUGGUAAUUACUACAACAUGAAUUCAGAAGGAUCCUAUUGGUAGGGUUCAUCAGCAACUCAUUAAUUAAACUGUUGCCAUGGUGCCAGUUGCCCUGGUAGCAUGAAAUCCUUUCUCCUCCCUUUCCCCUCCUCCUCUGCAGUUCACAGGAUUCUCAUUCAUAUUCUUGUGCUUAACAUGAAUGAAGCCAGAGAGCAUGGGGCUAGGGGAAGAGGCACUUGUGGAGAGAAGAUGCCUUUUCCCCCACUGUGACUACCCCCUCAUGGGCCUGAAUAAUCACUCAGCUCUUCCUCUGUGUUUUUCUUUCCUUGGAAACACAAAUUCUGCCUCAUACACAUCCUGUCUUUUUUUUCUAUGGUUGCUUACAGCUCAAAUCCCAAUUACCCUGAGCACCUGUGUUAUUCUGGGUUCUUGGAAUGAGUUCCUGUGAUUGACAGUGGUGCAAGUAAAGGGCUGGGCCCUUUAUCUGCAGCCUAAUUGCAGAGGCUUGGCAGUUUUCUAGAGGUAAGCCUUUGCCUGUGUGGGUUUUCUCUGCUUGAUUAAAUCACAAUAUUUCCUCUGUCUCUGAAGCCAGAAAGGACCAUUAACUCUUCCAGGCUGUCCACCUUCAUAGGACACAGCAGUGACUCCCCCCAUGUCUUCUGCUUUGUGCCUGAAAGCUUCUGGCUGAGCUGUGAUUUCCUUGCCAGAAGAUGCUUCAUCUUAGUAUAAAUGUUGAUAAUGAUGGAGAACGCUGCACUCUGUGGCAACCUGUCCAUCCAGGUGUCUAACCACUCCUUGUUGCCAAGAAUCAGCCCCCCCAACAUGCAUGGUAGGUCUUGUAUGACAUUACUUCUCUCUUUCAUGUUUUUUUGCCUGUGGGUGCUUUCUCACAGAAUCUAGCAGCUCCCUUCUUCAGAGAUGAAAUCCCAUCUCAUCUCUGUGGAUGUAGAUGGAUGGUUGAUGAUUUGCCCUCAGCCCACCAUUCUGGCCAUGUCCGGCUGUAAAUAUUUGCAGAAGAAAUGCAUCCAUAGGAAGACAUGGUUGUAUUCAUUCUGUAAGGGUGUUUUUCUGGUUCAAAGUGUUUGAAGUAAUAAUGAUAGGGCUGUGUUUCAGCAUCUAAGAACAAUGUUUUCAUAGCACAAAACUGAGAGUGUAUGGUAUGUAUGAGUGUGAGGAAGUACAGCCAGCUGGGAUGGUGUCAGAGGAACACACAUGAUUAAAGAGUCAAACCUGACCUUGUCCUUGUAGCUGCUGGGAGUGAUCACUGGUGUGUGCUGUCCUUUGAGCUCUGUUCUGUGGAAAGACAGUUGUUACGGACCAAAAUCACACCUGUUGUGCAAGAACAAGUAGGUAGUUUGGACGACUAGGGUUCUGAGGUCCAUCUUUCUCCCUAGCUCUGUUUUAUUUAACAGUCUAGACAUUGCAUUAGAAGUAGGGAUGAAAUUUAUCCCAUGGGCUAGAUUAUUCCCUGUCUGCCUGCUACGAGGUGUCACCCAACUUCGUCCAAAGUCUCUGGCAAUGGCAAUGUUUUGAAGGAGGGCAGUGAAGCAGAUGGGGAUGGGGCCUGAGCAAAAAUGAAAAUUCAAAGGUCCCUGAUUUGGCCCUACCUAGAAAUUUGAAAAAGUGCUAAGUCUGUAAUAUCAGUUCUGUUUUCUCCAGGCAUUAUAUGUUCUGCUUCACUCCCUGCCCAUUCAGAUGAAUGUAAAACCCUUGUGAAAGUGCCAUGAAAGCUGGAACCCCUGGCAGAGGACAGCACCUUCUUCCCUGGUAGCUCAGAGCCAGCACGUGUGACUGCACUGGUGUUACUGUGGAGCUUCUUGAGCACAAAUACACAGACAAAUAGAGACAGACCAACUGCCCAUUGCAGUCUGUUGCCAAAAUAAUUUCAGCCCAUCUGAGGACAAAGCAAGAAGGACCCCACUUUUCUCAUUGCCUCUAAAUUACUACGGAAUCUGUUGACCCUUCCUCAUCCAGUUGCAAACGCCUUCAUCUACAAAAUGACAAGGAGAAAUGCUUAAUCCUCCACGAUGAAUCUCACAGAUGCUUCUCCCAGGAAAUGAACUAAAGGUUGCAGCUUUGCUUGAGUGACUGUGAGUCAGGAGACCUCCUCCUUGUCCCAAGUCUGAGAGAGGAAAGUCUGGGACCAGCCAGACUGUAUAUUUUUUUGCAUGGGUCUGAAAUAGAAUCAGCAGACUUUAAAGCUGGUAUACCAAAAGAAAAUGAUAGCACAAAACCCAGCCAAGCUCCUUGGAAAUGUAAAUAGACCGGAAACACUGAUGUCCUCUUAACACAGCAUCAAUCACUGCUGGGUGCUGGAAGUGGCAGCACAUUCAUUAUGGUCUACGUAACCAUCACAAGCAGCAGAUGGAGCAGGUUUAAGACCUAACAGUGGAGUUUUGGAGCAAGAAGCCUGCUUCUGAGAACAACAAUGGUGUAUUAUGCAUACUUUGACUUCUUGGCUGAUGCGAGAUAAAAAAGAGGGGAAGGUGAAUCAUCUUCUCUGAAGCACUGAUGAAUACACACGAGGCUUUCAGACCACAGCUCUGUGUGGUACAAUGAAUAUUUUCUUCAAGCCUGAGAGCAAGUUUUUUUUAAAAUUUAUGGAGGAAACAGAGCAUUCAGAAAACAAAUCUACACUUCUCUGAGUGCCAGACCAUAUCUCCGAGCACUGUAAAGACAAUGGACGUGAGUGAUCUUCCUCCCGACAUAAAAAGUGCAGAAGAAGGUGUGAAGCUCUUACCCUCGCUGUUGAAACAAGUCCCAGAAGAACUGAUGUCAUUUUAUUUGGAACAGCUGCUAUCUGCCCGUACUGUGUGGAGAGCCAUAUUUCGGCUGAGUCACCAAGGCCCGCCACACCCUGCUCUGUAGCACUUGCUCUCCAUAGCGAUUUAAUAACUCACAUUUACUGCAGAACUGUUAUUCAUAUCUCAUUAGAUUUUGUGGGAGCUUCAGCAGUAAGCAACGUACAUUGUCAUGGUUCACAAAGCUGUUGUGAUACUUGUCAACCAAGAGGAAAUUGCAUUUUCCCCUGCUGUAAAGCAGCUACGGAGAUGGAAGCUAUGAAAUUAGUCAGCCUUAACAUGCAUUAAUCAAGGAAGGGAAGUUGAAGAUGCCCUUGGAGAAAGAUGGGCUGAGAGGCUGGGCCUAGAGGCUGGGCCUAGAUACUGGGCCUGUCUUGGGUAUGAGCAGUAGGCAAGACUCUAAGUGGCCAGUCUGGAGAGACCAUGCUGUCAUGAGAGCAGGUGAAACCAGGAGAAUGAUGAGGACAGCACCAUUAGGAGCAGCAGGAGAGGGAAAUCUGGAAAUAGCAGGUCUAACAGAGGCUCUCCUUAGCCACCUGGGAUUUCAGACUUUGUUUUGUGCUCUGUGGGACAGGUAGAAUAUGAGCACUGGAAGGGACACAUUUGGCUCUGCACGUUUACUACUCUAACGUUGUCCCUGUAAAUGUGGCAGGUGACUGGUCUGCAUGGCUUGUGUUCCCUGUAAGUGUGGGUCUGCAGGUGCCUUUGCACAGCAAGAUGCUCUAUCCUCCUUCCGUGCAAGUAAUGUUGUGCUUUCUUAUGGGGUAGCUCUGACACCAAGACACAGAGACUUUCUGCAUAUGUCAUUGUGCAGGAAGAAAGAAGAACCAGGAGAGAAAAGCUGGUGUAUGCUUCCUCUGGGAAAAGUCCAGAGGUUUAGUAUUGCUGUGUUGGAAGAGGAGGCACACAAAGGAAUCACAAGCCAGUACAUGGACUGCCAGGAGCACUGGACUCCAAGCAUGGCAAGAAAGAAGUUAUUUCCUGUAACUUUCCUGUAAAACAAACAAACAAAACAACAAAAACACACCACCACCACCAAAAAUGAAACAAAACAAAACACCACAACAAUAAAAAAAUAGCUUCAUCCUUUUCAGCUUUUUUUUGUUCAAUUUGUUAUUCAGCCCCACCCCCUAAUCCUCACUCCAGCUUAUAGGUAGAGUUGUGAUUUUUCUUCUCCUGUGUAUUAAGAUCCCUGCGUGGAAGAUGAUUGUCUCUGGUGCUGAAUACAGCUUUUGGGGGUUGAUACAAGACUGAUUCCAUUCACGAAACUUGAAGUGACUUUGCUCUAGCAAUAUGAAAUGGGAGUACAGCUCACCUUGCAGAUGGUUGCCUAAAAUAUUAAACAGUGAUUCACCAUUA
Molecule: long non-coding RNA, 5730 nt
Organism: Cygnus atratus (black swan)
Lineage: Eukaryota; Metazoa; Chordata; Aves; Anseriformes; Anatidae
Exons: 10
Source: RefSeq, a predicted model, not a curated record